GAUGAACGCUGGCGGCGUGCCUAAUACAUGCAAGUCGAGCGAACAGACGAGGAGCUUGCUCCUCUGACGUUAGCGGCGGACGGGAGAGUAACACGUGGAUAACCUACCUAUAAGACUGGGAUAACUUCGGGAAACCGGAGCUAAUACCGGAUAAUAUAUUGAACCGCAUGGUUCAAUAGUGAAAGACGGUUUUGCUGUCACUUAUAGAUGGAUCCGCGCCGCAUUAGCUAGUUGGUAAGGUAACGGCUUACCAAGGCAACGAUGCGUAGCCGACCGGAGAGAGUGAUAGGCGGCCCUGGAGGUGGACCGGGGACAAGAGGACUACGAGACGGAGCAGAAGGGAAUGGUCGGCAGUGGUCGAAAAUAUGGCAGAACAACGGGGAGUGAGAUACGAAGGCGUCGGGAGCGGGAUGCUGGCCUAUUGGUUGUAAACAGAUGUGUGCGUAGCUAUAGACGUCGUGACGGUACCUGAACAAGAAGCACCGGCUAACUACGUG
This 497-nucleotide ribosomal RNA is filed under the name uncultured bacterium. Its description in RNAcentral is "partial 16S ribosomal RNA". It matches the Rfam family "Bacterial small subunit ribosomal RNA", at positions 28 to 507 of the family's 1533-position model. The record is from RNAcentral.